CUCUGCCUCCACGGGGCCCCCAUCCCCACCCCCACCCCCGCCUUGGAUGGAUGGUGGGGUGAAUGGAUCGGUGCUGUAUCAGUUGACGCCCUUUUCGCUUCGAAUGGUAGAAAUACUGACAAGUGUGGUCAUAUGACCUUACGGGGGCUUGUUUCUCUCCCCUGACAGGAAGCCGGGAAGCGGGAAGAUUUCUGUUAGUUCAGCAGCCCAGGGGUGUCAGCCAGCAUCUCUGUAACCAGAGGGGCCUUUCCCUCAUGGUCACAGGGGGUUGCCAUAGCUCCAGAUGUUACAUCCAUGUUCCGGACUGAACAGAGCAUUCCAGGAAGCUUGACAGCAGCCCAGAACCCCCGCCCAGUCCACAAACCGCAGUGUUGGGGGAGAGAGUGUGUGCAUGCCCGUGUGCAGGGGGAGGGGCAAGAGGAGAGGGAGAGAGAAUCCUGAGCAGACUUCCCUCUCAGCGCAGAGCCUGAAGCAGGGGCUGAUCUCACCACCCUGAGGUCAAGACCUAAGCAGAAAUGCUGAGUCGGACUGACUGACUGAGCCAGCCAGAGAUAGAGACAGCCAGCGAGAGACGGGACACAAGCAGGGGGAGUGGGAGAGGAAGAAGC
Ailuropoda melanoleuca (giant panda) is the source of this 608-nucleotide long non-coding RNA. RefSeq lists it as uncharacterized. Lineage: Eukaryota; Metazoa; Chordata; Mammalia; Carnivora; Ursidae. The record is from RefSeq and is a predicted model, not a curated record. The transcript is spliced from 4 exons.